Molecule: non-coding RNA, 30 nt
Filed under: Callithrix jacchus (white-tufted-ear marmoset)
Lineage: Eukaryota; Metazoa; Chordata; Mammalia; Primates; Cebidae
Also listed under: 2 other names
Source: RNAcentral
UGGUUGAUGUGGACAUUAUGACACUUUGUC